This 764-nucleotide ribosomal RNA is filed under the name Bacillus sp. (in: firmicutes). RNAcentral describes it as "bacterial SSU rRNA". It matches the Rfam family "Bacterial small subunit ribosomal RNA", at positions 56 to 802 of the family's 1533-position model. The record is from RNAcentral. Lineage: Bacteria; Bacillati; Bacillota; Bacilli; Caryophanales; Bacillaceae.
UGCAAGUCGAGCGGACAGAUGGGAGCUUGCUCCCUGAUGUUAGCGGCGGACGGGUGAGUAACACGUGGGUAACCUGCCUGUAAGACUGGGAUAACUCCGGGAAACCGGGGCUAAUACCGGAUGCUUGUUUGAACCGCAGGGUUCAAACAUAAAAGGUGGCUUCGGCUACCACUUACAGAUGGACCCGCGGCGCAUUAGCUAGUUGGUGAGGUAACGGCUCACCAAGGCAACGAUGCGUAGCCGACCUGAGAGGGUGAUCGGCCACACUGGGACUGAGACACGGCCCAGACUCCUACGGGAGGCAGCAGUAGGGAAUCUUCCGCAAUGGACGAAAGUCUGACGGAGCAACGCCGCGUGAGUGAUGAAGGUUUUCGGAUCGUAAAGCUCUGUUGUUAGGGAAGAACAAGUACCGUUCGAAUAGGGCGGUACCUUGACGGUACCUAACCAGAAAGCCACGGCUAACUACGUGCCAGCAGCCGCGGUAAUACGUAGGUGGCAAGCGUUGUCCGGAAUUAUUGGGCGUAAAGGGCUCGCAGGCGGUUCCUUAAGUCUGAUGUGAAAGCCCCCGGCUCAACCGGGGAGGGUCAUUGGAAACUGGGGAACUUGAGUGCAGAAGAGGAGAGUGGAAUUCCACGUGUAGCGGUGAAAUGCGUAGAGAUGUGGAGGAACACCAGUGGCGAAGGCGACUCUCUGGUCUGUAACUGACGCUGAGGAGCGAAAGCGUGGGGAGCGAACAGGAUUAGAUACCCUGGUAGUCCACGCCG